UAAUCUGCUUUUAUUUUGCUUUCCAGGAAUCUACAAGCCGCCAUUGGAGCCUACUAUGAUUUUGAGAGUCCAAAUAUCAAUGUACCCUCCAUGUCCUUUGUUGAAGAUGUCACCAUAGGCGAAGGAGAGUCCAUCCCUCCUGAUACCCAGUUUACAAAAACAUGGAGGAUACAAAACACAGGGACGGAGGCUUGGCCCCCGGGGGUUUGUCUGAAGUACGUCGGGGGAGACCAAUUUGGCCACGUCAACAUGGUGAUGGUCAGGUCCCUGGAGCCCCAGGAGAUCGCGGACGUCAGCGUUCAGAUGUGCAGCCCCAGCACAGCAGGGAUGUAUCAGGGACAGUGGCGGAUGUGCACGGCCACGGGACUCUAUUACGGAGAUGUCAUCUGGGUGAUCCUCAGCGUGGAAGUUGGAGGACUUCUAGGUGUAACACAGCAGCUGUCAUCCUUUGAAACAGAGUUCAACACGCAGCCGCAUCGCAAGGUAGAAGGAAACUUUAACCCAUUCGCCUCUCCACAGAAGAACAGGCAACCAGAUGAAAACAACCUAAAAGACCCUGGGGGUUCCGAGCUAGGCACAAUCAGCAAAAACACAUGGGGGCCUGCUCCUGACCAAAUCGAACAAGAUCAGAAUGGACUGUCACAAAACUCUGUAAAUCUCUCCCCCAGCAGUCACUCGAACAACUUGUCGGUAGUGACAUACAGUAAGGUAGGUGCCCUGGGAGAACAGGAGAAUGGGUAGGUGAUGAGACCCCUCUAUGUAAUAGUUCUUCGUUACAAACUGCAAAAGCCCUUCCCUUCUGCUUCUGCCAGACCUGCUAAGGAAGGUUUUGAAUUUGACUGUCUGACUCUGCCAACUCCUCGUGUUAUAUCAAAAUACUUUUGCCUCUGAUAGACUUUACCAGAUCCACCUUUUUGGUUUUUUGGGUUUUUUGGUUGUUUUUUUUUUUUUGCUUCAAGUCCUUCUUAAAAUUUAUAUAAUCUUGUCUGGGUGCUGUAACUAUUAGUGGCUGGAGCCUGCUCCGGUUGCGUGUGCAAAUAAGUCAAAAUAUCUCUCUAGAUGUGCUCCUGAGUUUUACAUAAUUUUGAAAAGAGUAGAAAAAAUAAUCACACCCCCAAACCCUAAAAUUAACCAGAUAACUUCUUUUUAGCUGGUGUGGGGAGACUACAGAGCUCAACAUUUUGAUCCCAGAAGCUACCUGUCAGGAACAGUCAAUCGAAGGACUAUUCCUGUCUGUGUCCUUGUCUUGUUUAUAAUUGGUUUCCACGGUCCUUAUCCCUUCGGACAGUCUUAAAACACACAAAAAACCACAAAACGGGUAUCAACAAGCGGAGGAUUUAACAAAGAACUGACUUUUGGGGGAAGGGAGGGGGAUUCAUGUGGCAGACACAACGUGGACCCCCCCCUUCUCUGCCUCUGGGUUCUGGAUAAAGAAGAAAAUACAAAAGCCCAGUAACUUAAACUUAGCUGUUUCCAGAGGAAGAUUCAAAAUCUAAGUAUGCAUGUGUGAAUGCUGGAUUUCAGGAGUGUUGUUAAAUGCUAUGAGAGAAAAUAUACCAACACCGUGGGUUGUUUUUUUUUUUUUUUUCUUUUUAGAAAUCAUUCUCACACAUAAUUAGGUAGCUUAAAAAGAAGUUUAAAAAAUGAAAAUGAAAAAGCCAUCUUUAAAAAAAAUAUUUUGCCUACAGAGCGGUUGUAGUUUGAGCAAAUGUUUAAUUUCUGUUUGUUUCUUGUUCAUAAUUUUUUUUUUAAAUAAGGGACAGCGUGCAUUUUUAUGGAACUGUCAUGUUUUGCUUGCUACGAAUGGGAAUUUGCUGAGCAUCUUCUGGGGUUUGUGCAGUGACUUCUCUUUGUCGGACAUUUUUUAAUGACAGGUUGGGUCUGCGCCCAGCUCUGCAGUUUUAAUAUCAUCUGCUGGUUUUAGUUACCAACUUUUUUUGUCUUCUUUUAUUUCUCUUUUGUGGUUUUUUUUUUUUUUCCUUCUCCUUUUGGUUUGGGUGUUGCUGUUAGUUGUCCUGCAUGUUGUUGGAAACCGUGCUGAAGACCAGGUCUCGCUUUCAAAGUUGGGGAGAAAGACUCUGGGACUUCUAGGAUCACAUGGAGGGCUCCUUCCCUUCCCCUUGUACGUGGAGUACACACAAAUACACACCCAUAUUAAGAAGAAACAAGAUUUAUUAAAGUUCCAGAGCUGUCCUAUGUGGUUAGCAUUUAAAAAAAACCUUUUUUGUUAACUCUUGAUGUACAGUAGCUGUGCCUAGAGCAACCGAGCAAGCGUCUCCGUCUUGUGCCAAGAGGAAACUUCUUCUGUAGCUGUAACUCACCCGGUAGUAGUUGCAAAGCUUUGCAAAAGUCCUUUUAAUUUUGAAUCUCCCAUCUCUUUUAUGGAGUAUAAGUUUGCAUUCAUUUCUCCUGUGAUAAAGUACUAGCUUAGAGGCUAAUUGUUUGCGUUUUUGAAUGCAGAGCAAGAGUUAGCACCAUCAGCUGGAUCCCGCGCUGUCGCCUUGUGUUCAUUCGCCUUUCUCCUCCUGGCUCGUUGCUUCGCUGAGGCUCUUCCCUUCUCCAGGGGCUCUCCAGGGCUUGGUGUCAGAGCAGGGACUGCUCCUCUAGAGACACGGGUUGCUCUGCUCUUCCUCCAGCGUAUCUUCCUUCAGUUAAUGGAUUGGGAAGGGCCCGUGUGAGGGGAGGGAGAAAAGCCUCAAGUGCUGUGGUGGCUUUCUGAAGUGCUGUGUCACCACAGAUCCCACUGAAGGGGAGCGAGGUGAGGGGACACCAUUUUAUUCAGAAACCUGGACAAGGCUGGAACAGCCAUCUGCCAAAGAUGCAGUGAUAUGCAAAGCUCCCACUUCCUUCUUCCAGAUCUUUCCAGUGAAGACUCUUGUUCUCCUUGCUGGAGCAGAGCGUAGGCUUGUGCAUGGUGUGUGGCUUUACACUGGUUGCUCUUUAAUAGUUGUAUUUUCUUGGUUGGUUUUGAAUGGGGCCUUCAUUUUCAUUGCAGCUACCCAGAACACGCAGUUACCUUAGUGCAUACAGGUGGAUCUCGUGGAGGACAGGGGAAGCUCCUUCUAUCCAGCAGAGGAAGAAUCGGGCCAUUGAUUUUGGUUGCAUUUCAGAGGUUCAGUUGUUAAAGAUCAUUGUUAUCUGGAGUCUCCCUUCAAAAAUCUGUUUGCUGGGAGAAGCAAGUACAGUGUGAGAAGUUAUCUGCAUCAAAGUGGCACUGCAGGGCUUGGACUGGUACCCAUUUACACAUCUCAGUAGCUUGCUGGAGCUGGGUGAUGUUGAGAUCCGGAGUGAAGCCAUGGAAGGUGGUGCUGUGCUGCCCACCUUGGGUAGCACUUGGUUCUUGUCCUGGAACAUCGCUUUGUCCCAGAUUAGUUCCUCCUCUCGGCACUCAGCGUAGGGAAUGACUUGCACCACUGGAGAGUAGCAUGGGCGAGCAGAUUCUUUCUUGGUUUCCUCCUUUCUGAACAGGUGGCUUACGUGACAAGUUCUGAAGGCAUGAACCUGACCAUCACCUCUUGCAGUGCUGCUGCUUCCCUUCUGAAGGCAUCCAUAACACCAGAGGCUGCGCUUUGUCCAACUGAAAAAGCGAUUCCUUAUCUUUAGUAGCUCUUUUUAUCAGCUGUCUAGUGGAAGGGGGAGAAAUGAAGAUCUGAGUUUGUUUAGCUGGUGCUGCAACCUUUGCUGUGUGUCAGCUGGGGCAUCUGGGAGACCCUUGGAGACCUGCACGCUGCCUUUCUCCUGCUCCUCCACGUGUGCUCCUCCCGGCUAUAACGGCUGCCCCAUUCGUGUUCCUGUGCUGCUCCUGAGGCUGAAUUUUCCUUUUCUUGAGAAAAAAAAACCAAACCAACUUGCAUGCACCCCAACUAGUCGUGUGCUUUCCCACUCAGAAGGCACUUUGUUCUGUGCAGACUUGAAUUCUCUCUCCUCUAGAGUGUUUUCAGUCUGGAGUCCUUGUCAUGAAGGGUCACUUACUCCAGGGUGUGCAGAAGGGCAGGGCCAGAGCCCAGUUGCUGCUGAAAAUCCUGCACCCUCUCGCUGCUCCCGUCGCCUCUUCCCCGGGGAGCCCAGCCCAAGUGCUCCCUUCUGGGAACGAUCUCUGCCAACGACCACGUGGAGCUCUGGAUGCUCUGAGGGUCUGGGGAGUGGAGCCCUGGCUGUGACAGUAGGAGAAUGUUUAAAUUCAUGGCUGCUCUACCUCCGGUUUUCCCUCGAGUUAAAAACUGUUUCAGUGAGGCCAAAGGUGGUUUUAUCUCCUCUGGUUCCUUGGAGCUUAGCGCUGCAGCCGGCCCUCAAAUUGCUCUUGCUGUCAGGUUUCCAGCUUUUAAAUAGGGGGAUUUGAGAUGUGUUCAGCAAAGCUCUUUCCAGGUGACUUCAGGGCACGGUGAUUGGACUGGUUUCCACUGGGCUGAUGCGUUCAGACUCUCGGGGUUUUAACAUCAGAGCCAUGAAACAAAUAGCCUGGUUUUUCAGAAGUGCUGAAUGCCAAAGAUUUUGGUGAGCAUGAGGUGUGUGUGGGAGCUCGGGUGACCUGGUCGAGGUGAGUUAGGCAGGCAGAACUCAGCCCUGUUGGAAACGGGAGGAAAUCCUUACUGGGAUGAGACUGGUGAACCAGUAAAGAGGCUGUUACCCCAGUGAGGCUGGUGUUCCUGACUGGGGGAGGGAUGGGGCUGGUAUGGGAGGGUGCAGGGAUGGAGAGGCUGCAACUGGCUCCAGAUUGAUGAACACCCAUCUGUCGUGAGGUCCUGAGGAGGAGGGAAAGAGAGAUCUUCCUUACCCCCCCACCCCUCCAAAAGGAAAAAGAUAAGAUGGAACAUCUCUGAGGGUCUCUGAAUGGAUUGUGAGCUGCUUGGGAUGGCUCUUAUUGCUAAUACGAGUUGAGCAGUGGCAGCCCAGGCCCCCCCUCUCCCAGCCUGGGCAAACUGGAGGGUGAAAUCCCCAAGGUUACCCCCAAACAGGUAACGCUGGCUGGGGGGAGAGCCAGAAUCCGCUGCCCCCAUCUCAGGAGGAUUGGUUUCAGAGCCCUGCAAGGGUUUGGAAGAUGUGGGUCCCCCCCAGCAAGGGGCAAAGCCGCAUGGGCAGAGAGAGCCCGGGCAGGAGGGCAGCCGGGGGCUGCAGGGUUAGGAAAUGCACGCUGUCCCACCUCUGGGUUUCUGUUGUGUGUUUUAAUAUUAUUUUUUUUUUUUCCGUGUGUGAGUGCGUGGGUGGUUCUGCAGCCUGUCUGUUCUCUCCAGGGGGAGUGCAUGUGUAGAACAGGAUGGUGUGUUGCCUCAUUGAGUCUGGGAGAAGUCCUAUGAUAGCACAUUGGGGGUAAAAAUAAAGGAAGCUUUUUCCUUAAUGUAUAAAUGAAUAUUUGUAUGAUUAAAUUAACACAGAAAAAAAAA
Calidris pugnax (ruff) is the source of this 5381-nucleotide RNA transcript. It is a transcript of the gene named chromosome unknown open reading frame, human C6orf106, with no coding region annotated. The transcript is spliced from 4 exons. NCBI's taxonomy places the organism in Eukaryota, Metazoa, Chordata, Aves, Charadriiformes, Scolopacidae. The record is from RefSeq and is a predicted model, not a curated record.